CACCGGAUAGCUCAGUCGGCAGCGCACGAGACUCUAAAUCCCAGGGUCGUGGGUUCGAAACCCACGCUGGGUGA
Podarcis lilfordi (Lilford's wall lizard) is the source of this 74-nucleotide non-coding RNA. Lineage: Eukaryota; Metazoa; Chordata; Lepidosauria; Squamata; Lacertidae. The record is from the annotation of a GenBank genome assembly.